RNAcentral lists this ribosomal RNA (554 nucleotides) under uncultured archaeon. Its description in RNAcentral is "bacterial SSU rRNA". It matches the Rfam family "Archaeal small subunit ribosomal RNA", at positions 326 to 879 of the family's 1478-position model. The record is from RNAcentral.
CGGGGUGCAGCAGGCGCGAAAACUUUACAAUGCUCGAAAGUGUGAUAGGGGGAUACUCAGUGCUUACGCUUCUGGCGUAGGCUUUUGUCAAGUGUAGAUAACUUGGCGAAUAAGUGGUGGGCAAGACCGGUGCCAGCCGCCGCGGUAACACCGGCGCCACAAGUGGUCAUCACGAUUAUUGGGCCUAAAGCGUUCGUAGCCGGUUUGGUAAAUCUCUUGUGAAAUUGUGCGGCUUAACCGCACAGCGUGCAGGAGACACUACCAGACUCGAGACCGGGAGGGGGCAGAAGUAUUCCGUGGGGACCGGUAAAAUGGGAUAAUCCACGGAGGACUACCGAUGGCGAAGGCAUCUGUCCAGAACGGAUCUGACGGUGAGGAACGAAAGCCAGGGGAGCGAACCGGAUUAGAUACCCGAGUAGUCCUGGCCGUAAACGCUGUGAGCUAGGUGUCGCGUAUCUCACGUAGAUGCGCGGUGUCGAAAUGAAGAUGCUAAGCUCACCGCCUGGGAAGUACGGUCGCAAGACUGAAACUUUAAGGAAUUGGCGGGGGAGCAC